Molecule: long non-coding RNA, 803 nt
Filed under: Mytilus galloprovincialis (Mediterranean mussel)
Lineage: Eukaryota; Metazoa; Mollusca; Bivalvia; Mytilida; Mytilidae
Source: RNAcentral
GGCUGAAAUAGAUAGAAAUAUAUAAAAAAAAACUCACAGCAAAACUCUUUAAAUACAUUUGCAAAAUUUAAAACAACGAAAGAAUUGAAAGCAAAUAAUUCUAGAGACUAUUUGAAUGACUAUUUUAUACUUGACCAGAGUAAAAAGCAACCAGAUUUCAUUGUUAAAGAUCAUAACCCUGACCCUGUUAACUUAUGCAUGAGGAAAGAUGCAGUUUUUUUGUAGGCCCCACUUUCUAUAAUUAGUGUGAUUGUAAAGCCAGAAUGACCCAAGGCGAUUCACAUGUCAACAGCUCUAUAUGCAAUUGAUGUUUACGUACUUUAUUAGUACGAUAUUGAGGCCAAUUCUUACACGUUUUCAGGUAUAUCUGAACAUUACAUAAUUUCAGAACUUCAUGGUCAUUAUUGGUGUUAAACACAUUAAAGCAACAACACACUUUUCUCCUUGUACUUUACCAGUUGAAUGCUAAGUGUAUACUCAUUUAAACAUGCUUUGUCUGUUAGAAGAAAUGAUUCCUUAACAUUUGCGAAAUACAUACUAUACGCACUCUAUUCAAUAACUUAUAAAUUGUAUAAGCUACUGGUUUUAAAUUCAGAACUGAAAUACAGGGGCGGAGAAGUAAUUUUCAUAUUCAACAUCGACGACCUCGUCAGUUCAAAUACAACCACAACUAUGCUAAAUGAAUGAAAGUCAUCCGUUGACAUGAAUUUGAACAUGCUUUUCUGAAAAUAUCAAUUCAUCAUUUUAGAUAUUACUAGGACACUAAGAUAAUAGAGAAAAUAUUAAUGAUAAAUCAAAGUUAU